RNAcentral lists this ribosomal RNA (253 nucleotides) under uncultured bacterium. RNAcentral describes it as "partial 16S ribosomal RNA". It matches the Rfam family "Bacterial small subunit ribosomal RNA", at positions 524 to 776 of the family's 1533-position model. The record is from RNAcentral.
UACAGAGGUGGCAAGCGUUGUUCGGAAUUACUGGGCGUAAAGGGCGCGUAGGCGGUCUUGUAAGUCCCGUGUGAAAUCCCUCGGCUCAACUGAGGAACUGCACGGGAAACUGCUUGGCUUGAGUUCGGGAGAGGGAAGCGGAAUUCCGGGUGUAGCGGUGAAAUGCGUAGAUAUCCGGAGGAACACCGGUGGCGAAGGCGGCUUCCUGGACCGACACUGACGCUGAGGCGCGAAAGCUAGGGGAGCAAACGGG